CAUUCACCUGGUUUCUAUUAUUAUCAUAUGCAGCUAUUUGUAGUAAAGAGCAGAGCAUAUUUGUUUGCUGAAAAACAACCACAUGGGAAGAAGACUGACACUUGCCAGGCUCUGCAAAUGAAAACUGGGAACCUAAACACUGGGUCCUGAUAUCAAGUGUUUGAUAGAAAAAUACAAGGCUUGUUGGAAAUGCAUUCCUGGCAUUGUAAUAGGUAGACAGAAAACCCCAAAGACA
Molecule: non-coding RNA, 235 nt
Organism: Cyanistes caeruleus (blue tit)
Lineage: Eukaryota; Metazoa; Chordata; Aves; Passeriformes; Paridae
Source: RefSeq, a predicted model, not a curated record